This 389-nucleotide ribosomal RNA is filed under the name uncultured Gordonia sp. RNAcentral's name for it is "bacterial SSU rRNA". It matches the Rfam family "Bacterial small subunit ribosomal RNA", at positions 394 to 795 of the family's 1533-position model. The record is from RNAcentral. Lineage: Bacteria; Bacillati; Actinomycetota; Actinomycetes; Mycobacteriales; Gordoniaceae.
ACCCCGCGUGAGGGAUGACGGCCUUGGGGUUGUAAACCUCUUUCACCAGGGACGAAGCGUGAGUGACGGUACCUGGAGAAGAAGCACCGGCCAACUACGUGCCAGCAGCCGCGGUAAUACGUAGGGUGCGAGCGUUGUCCGGAAUUACUGGGCGUAAAGAGCUCGUAGGCGGUUUGUCGCGUCGUCUGUGAAAUUCUGCAACUCAAUUGUAGGCGUGCAGGCGAUACGGGCAGACUUGAGUACUACAGGGGAGACUGGAAUUCCUGGUGUAGCGGUGAAAUGCGCAGAUAUCAGGAGGAACACCGGUGGCGAAGGCGGGUCUCUGGGUAGUAACUGACGCUGAGGAGCGAAAGCGUGGGUAGCGAACAGGAUUAGAUACCCUGGUAGUC